RNAcentral lists this ribosomal RNA (395 nucleotides) under Thecofilosea sp. RNAcentral describes it as "partial small subunit ribosomal RNA". It matches the Rfam family "Eukaryotic small subunit ribosomal RNA", at positions 582 to 975 of the family's 1831-position model. Lineage: Eukaryota; Cercozoa; Thecofilosea. The record is from RNAcentral.
AUUCCAGCUCCAAUAGCGUAUAUUAAAGUUGUUGCAGUUAAAAAGCUCGUAGUUGGAUUUCUGGUGUGGGGUGCUUGACCCGCCGCGGUUACGCGUGUGAGUGUCGGUGUGCUCUGCCCAUCCUUCUAGAAAUUGGCUCUGCCCUUCAUUGGGUUGGGGUCAGGAUCUAGAUCUUUUACUUUGAAAAAAUUAGAGUGUUUAAAGCAAGCGUUGCGUGAAUACAUUAGCAUGGAAUAAUAACUUAGGACUUCGGUUCUAUUUUGUUGGUUUCUAGGACUGAAGUAAUGAUUGAUAGGGAUAGUUGGGGGUGCUAGUAUUCAGCGGCCAGAGGUGAAAUUCUUGGAUUCGCUGAAGACUAACUUAUGCGAAAGCAUUCACCAAGGAUGUCUUCAUCG